AGGAAUAUUGGUCAAUGGACGAGAGUCUGAACCAGCCAAGUAGCGUGAAGGAUGACUGCCCUAUGGGUUGUAAACUUCUUUUAUACGGGAAUAAAGUUAGCCACGUGUGGCUUUUUGUAUGUACCGUAUGAAUAAGGAUCGGCUAACUCCGUGCCAGCAGCCGCGGUAAUACGGAGGAUCCGAGCGUUAUCCGGAUUUAUUGGGUUUAAAGGGAGCGUAGGCGGGUUGUUAAGUCAGUUGUGAAAGUUUGCGGCUCAACCGUAAAAUUGCAGUUGAUACUGGCGACCUUGAGUGCAACAGAGGUAGGCGGAAUUCGUGGUGUAGCGGUGAAAUGCUUAGAUAUCACGAAGAACUCCGAUUGCGAAGGCAGCUUACUGGAUUGUAACUGACGCUGAUGCUCGAAAGUGUGGGUAUCAAACAGGAUUAGAUACCCUGGUAGUCCACACAGUAAACGAUGAAUACUCGCUGUUGGCGAUAUACGGUCUGCGGCCAAGCGAAAGCAUUAAGUAUUCCACCUGGGGAGUACGCCGGCAACGGUGAAACUCAAAGGAAUUGACGGGGGCCCGCACAAGCGGAGGAACAUGUGGUUUAAUUCGAUGAUACGCGAGGAACCUUACCCGGGCUUAAAUUGCAACCGAAUAUGGCGGAAACGCCAUAGCUAGCAAUAGCGGUUGUGAAGGUGCUGCAUGGUUGUCGUCAGCUCGUGCCGUGAGGUGUCGGCUUAAGUGCCAUAACGAGCGCAACCCUUGCCGAUAGUUACUAACAGGUUAUGCUGAGGACUCUGUCGGGACUGCCAUCGUAAGAUGUGAGGAAGGUGGGGAUGACGUCAAAUCAGCACGGCCCUUACGUCCGGGGCUACACACGUGUUACAAUGGGGGGUACAGAGGGCUGCUACCACGCAAGUGGAUGCCAAUCCCAAAAACCUCUCUCAGUUCGGAUUGAAGUCUGCAACCCGACUUCAUGAAGCUGGAUUCGCUAGUAAUCGCGCAUCAGCCACGGCGCGGUGAAUACGUUCCCG
RNAcentral lists this ribosomal RNA (1018 nucleotides) under uncultured bacterium. RNAcentral's name for it is "bacterial SSU rRNA". It matches the Rfam family "Bacterial small subunit ribosomal RNA", at positions 357 to 1376 of the family's 1533-position model. The record is from RNAcentral.